CAGGGUAGUCCUUGUGAGGAGUCACAGGACUGUUUGAGUUGAGCACGAUUCGAAUGAUCUGAUCAGGGUUGACAGUUUAACCCUGAGUCAUCCUAAACACAGGGGUCAAAAGGAUGAAUUAUACAGUAACCAUAUUUAUGUAGGUUCUGAGUGUUGCGAUUGUGACUCUUUGAUCUAUCCGAACGUUGGGUACCAUUGCUAGAUGAUCACUUCGAUUAGUACAGGAAUUGAUUCCUGUGCUAUCGGCUUAGGUUCGAACCUGUGGGGUCACACACAUUAGAGGUUCCUAUCUGAUCUGAUGGCUGAUAUAGAAUCUUACAUGUUUGAGACUCAGUGAUCGAGA
Molecule: long non-coding RNA, 343 nt
Filed under: Elaeis guineensis (African oil palm)
Lineage: Eukaryota; Viridiplantae; Streptophyta; Magnoliopsida; Arecales; Arecaceae
Description: long non-coding RNA (EGUI_LNC066685)
Source: RNAcentral